This 382-nucleotide long non-coding RNA is filed under the name Sinocyclocheilus grahami. Its description in RNAcentral is "lncRNA (ENSSGRG00000054569.1)". The record is from RNAcentral. Lineage: Eukaryota; Metazoa; Chordata; Actinopteri; Cypriniformes; Cyprinidae.
AGAAGAGCGGCUGUGCAAUGGUGAACAGAUUCAUCCCCAGGCACCCAAUCCAUUAUCCUGUCAACAACAGCAGGUCCCUGCCACAGUAGCAGCAACACUGGCCGUAAUGAAAUCAUCAGUAAUCCCAAAACUCAUCUCUUCAUACCAAGGUAAAAGUGCUUAUCUUUUCUUGAACUGUAUGAUAACAUGACAAAACAGUUAAGCAACAGGCGGUGGACCUCAGUGGAAGACACAUGCUCUAGUCUUCAACAGUGAAUUACCUGUAGUAGCUACAUUUCCCUGCAGGUAAUGGAAUUUGACUUAAGAAAAUCAAAGAAAUGGAUAUAUGGAUUUUCAGUGAGUCAUUUUUACACUGUCAAAUGCUAAAACCAUUUGAUUUCAG